AUUGAACCCAGGGAAGUUCUACCACUUAGAUACAUCCCCAGCCCCAUCUAGUUUUUAUUUUUAAAACGUGUGUUGCUUACCUGUUUAAGCUGGCCCCAAACGUGGGAUCCUCCUGUCUCAGUUUCCUGAGUAGCUGGAAUAACAGGCUUGAGCCACUGUGCCCAAACAUUAACUCUUAAUUUUAGAGCAACAAACUUCACAAUAAUCAGCUGGCAAAUCUGAAAUAUAAAGGACAGGCUAGAAAUUAAGGCAAGAGUUGAUGUAUUCUUGAAUCUUAAAGGCUAGAAAUGGGCUGGGCAUGGAAGUGCAUGCCUAUAAUCCCAGCAGCUUGGGAGGCUGAGACAGGAGGCUCAAAGUUCAAAGCAAGAAACAACUCAGUUAGACCCUGUCUCUAAAUAAAAUACAAAAUAGGGCUGGGGGAUGUUGCUCAGUGGUUGAGUGCUCCUGAGUUAAAUCCCCAGUAAAAAAAAAAAAAAAAAAAAAAAGCUAAAAAUGGGCAGAAUUUCUAUCCAUGUUUGCUUCUGCAGGCAGAAUCCUUCUUUGGAGAACCUCAAUAUUCCUCAUAAGACCUUCAGGAGAUUUGAUGUGGCUCACCCACAUUAUGGAAGCUAAUCUGCUUUAUUCAAAGUCUGCUGAUGUAAAUAUCAACCGCAUCUAAAAAAUUCCUUCUUAGCAACAUCUGGGCUGGUAUUUGGCCAAACAACUGGGCAUGAUGGCCUAGCUAAGCUGACACAUAAAUUUAACCAUCACAAAUGGCAAGAGAAACUGAACUUGGUAUGAAAGAGAAAUUCAAUUGGUGUAUCCAUUUUUAGUUGUGGGUAGGAUAAGAGAGUUGGCAGGUGGAACUGCCCCAGAGGAGUCCCCUGGGAAAUUUCUACAGGAAGAAGAAUCUGUGCUGCCCUUCCUGCCUCCCAGAACAAAGGUCUUCUCCCAGGGCAAGUGUGCACUUGGGAACCGAACACUGUUGGGAAUGAGAAGGAGUAAUAACCAGCAGACAUGAUCAUUUCA
Molecule: long non-coding RNA, 1008 nt
Filed under: Marmota monax (woodchuck)
Lineage: Eukaryota; Metazoa; Chordata; Mammalia; Rodentia; Sciuridae
Source: RNAcentral